RNAcentral lists this ribosomal RNA (250 nucleotides) under uncultured bacterium. RNAcentral's name for it is "partial 16S ribosomal RNA". It matches the Rfam family "Bacterial small subunit ribosomal RNA", at positions 524 to 773 of the family's 1533-position model. The record is from RNAcentral.
UACGGAAGGUCCGGGCGUUAUCCGGAUUUAUUGGGUUUAAAGGGAGCGUAGGCUGUCUAUUAAGCGUGUUGUGAAAUUUACCGGCUCAACCGGUGGCUUGCAGCGCGAACUGGUCGACUUGAGUAUGCAGGAAGUAGGCGGAAUUCAUGGUGUAGCGGUGAAAUGCUUAGAUAUCAUGACGAACUCCGAUUGCGUAGGCAGCUUACUGUAGCAUAACUGACGCUGAUGCUCGAAAGUGCGGGUAUCAAAC